This is a long non-coding RNA of Numida meleagris (helmeted guineafowl), 1580 nucleotides long. NCBI's taxonomy places the organism in Eukaryota, Metazoa, Chordata, Aves, Galliformes, Numididae. The record is from Ensembl.
GUAUGGCGUUUUUUCUCUUGUAUGAAGAGGUCCUAAAGAGCUGCUGACUGCUAAUGGUGGAACUGAAACUAGUAGUACAGGAUCUCAUUCUUUUACUCAGGUGUUUUAUUUCCUCACCUUGUUUCUUUGUGUAGCAGAAAUGCUAAGUCAUGGCCUGAAACAGUGAUGGAGCACCUGGUGGGAAGGCAGGGCCAACCCAGGGGAGCUCAGCUGCAAGCAGUGCACCUGAGUGACCGCAAGGGGUGGAUCCUGGCUCCACCCCUUCCCAGACCUCAUUUAAGGGUUGGCAGUGGAGAUGAGGGUAUCUCACUGGAGAUCCCUGCCUACUUGGAGCCUUCUAAAGGUAAGCAGAUUUUCUUCUUUUGUUUCUGUGUCUACAGCUGCUCCAAUGGGGUUUGUUCUCAUUUGCUGCAGCCCAGGAUUGUGCCACCCCGCUAUUAUUGCUGUACUUUCCAUUGCAUUACAGCAUUAGACUUUGAUUUUUUUCUAGACUGUAGUUUGUUCAAAAGUAUAUCUUCACGUUUGAAAGUCCUCCUUGCAGAAUACAAAUAUUCAAGCAUCUCAAGAUGGUGCGAGCUCCAAAAACAGCACAGGUUUACAACUCUAGAAGAAAACAACUUGUGUUCAUGUCACAAUUCUCAUUCAGGUGUUUUAAAACUUUUCUUUGUAUCUAGUAAUGUGAGAACUGUAAAACACUACUUUGUUAAGGCUAUCAUGGAGCCUGAAGUUUUAACAGAAGGAACAGAAAGCAUAAAAAUACCCACUUCGAAUCAUCAUUUGAUGUUCACCGUUCUCCUAAGUGGAUUGCAGCAGGUGAUGAACCAUACUUACUCCAGUCAAUAUAGGGUACUGUGAAAAAUGUAAGAGGGUGUCCCAGUUCCCUGUGCUCCAGUAGACAGAGCUAUGCGGGUGUGGAUGCAACCUGUGAGUAUGGCCUUCAUUGUAAACUCCGUGUCUAUCACAAACAGGUGCCAGGGUACAGCAGAGCACGCUUCUCUAUGUCCCCCUGCCCACUGUUUACUGCUAGUGAAUUUAUCUGUACUGCACAGGACAUGUAGGAGCUGAUCUAGAUCUGGGGAUAUCCAUCUAGCACCAGUACAUGACAGGACAUGGUUUCUCCUGGUAACGCCUGAAAGCUGGCACUCGUGUUGACCAGAUCUUAGGUGAGCAUUGCCAAGGGAGCAUGCUCAGCUGAUGGCAACUGGUUGCUGUUAUUCUGCUGGUAUUUCGGUGACGGGAAUCAGUACCAAAACACAAUUGUUCCAGGACAAGAAGCAUGGAAAAUCCAUAGGAAGUUUUUUACUUCUCUGCAUGCUUUCACUGAUAAUAAUUCAUAGCAAUUUGAUCGGUCCAGCAGAGAUGCAUAAUUACACUGCCAGCUGGGGUAUCUGUUAGCUGCUUCAGCACUUUAUUACCUAAGAGCUAAUAAUCUCUUAUCAAUCCGCACAGGCUAGCACAAUAAUACUUUUAUCUGUGUUAGGAGAACACCAGUUUCUCUAUAUAGGGUCAUUCAGGAAAACUAAUCCAAAUUGAUUUUUAAAGUAGAUUAAUUAAAUUAGGUUCCAUCUCUCCAAAUUUAC